GAGGGAAUGGCGGGUCUUUGAAUUAACCUAUAUAAAGUAAAUAGAUGCAAAACAAUUCAUUAACAUUCCUUGAGUAAACAUGAUUUCAUCAAAUAAGGAUAAUGUGUUCUUGGAGACUGCUGAAUUGGCAUGUUUCUAAUGCUUUGAAUGAACAUGAUUAAGUUGUGUCUGGGGUGGCCUCCAGUCCUGAGGUGGCGCUAGUGCACCACUUUCUAAGACAAGAAGAAGCCGGAAAGUUUCAAGCCAGAGAGCCGUUCGCCUCAGUCAGCCCGGUCCUACUCUUCAGUCUCAUCUCGCUGGAAUAGUGUUGUCAUGUGUGAAGAUAUACACGAAAUUGAGACUUCUGCUGCACUGUUCGAAGUCUGUAAGAUCAGUGCUGAAUUCAAAAGAAUAACCACAGUUCCCCUGCAAUCCAAGCAACUGUUGCUGAAUUGGCUGAUUUGUACAAGAUGCACCAUUUCUGAGGACUUCUGGCACAGUGGCCUGCACUGUUCAAAGUUUGCAAGAUCAGUGCUGAAUUGAAAAGAAUCACCACAGUCCCACUGCAAUGCCCUGCACUGUUCCAAGUCCACAAGGUCAUGGAUGAAGUUGCCGUAGACGAAGCAAUUGAAGACAUCACUAUUGGAAUCUGCUCUGACAGAAGAUUGGGCAUCCCACCCUUAGGACAUUGUCAGUUUUAGUGUAUGUCUGUCACACACGUGACACCCAAUCGGAAAGGACUCUUUUUUUCAGCAACUAAAAAACAGCAGUUAUUUUUGUUUCUUUAAGUGAAAUGUACCUUUUUUCUAGAGAUCAAUUUGCUUGUAUGCACUUCCAGCUCCUUGCUGGUUUAAGAAUAGUACUUGAGUGUGCAUAUGUUUUGUACAUACUGUGUUGAUUUUGACCCAAACUAAAGACAAACAAAAUACCAAGACUAGACUUAAAUAAGACUGGGUAAUAACACAAAUGUGGUCCACAAAGAGGACAACCAAAUGAAUGGUGGACUGCCAGAUGCACGCGCACAUGCAUACAGUAUACGCGCAUGAACGCACACACGCACACCUACAAGUGUG
Molecule: long non-coding RNA, 1052 nt
Organism: Engraulis encrasicolus (European anchovy)
Lineage: Eukaryota; Metazoa; Chordata; Actinopteri; Clupeiformes; Engraulidae
Exons: 6
Source: RefSeq, a predicted model, not a curated record